This is a long non-coding RNA of Hippocampus zosterae (dwarf seahorse), 663 nucleotides long. RefSeq lists it as uncharacterized. Lineage: Eukaryota; Metazoa; Chordata; Actinopteri; Syngnathiformes; Syngnathidae. The transcript has 2 exons. The record is from RefSeq and is a predicted model, not a curated record.
ACAAUACAUGCUGAUUUAUAUAGCGCUUUCACAACAGCGGCAGCUGUAACAAAGCGCUUUACAAAACAGUUAACAUAAAGUAAAAUAAUAAACAACACAUAACAUAAAACACGGACAGUCGUGCAGUCCUAACCACUUUUCCGUCACACGCUUUGUUGUUUGAAGCGGUUUGAGAUGAAAGAGGAGAGAAUCAAAGCGUCCUUUAACCAGUGGAUCAGAGACGUCAUGCUCAAAAUGUGCACACGUCGGCUACAUGCUAAGUUUCAAAGUCAACAAGAAGCUGUAGCAUCCAUUGACGAAAAAAGAGAUUGGUUAACUUCUCCUGUCCCAAUGAAAUCCAUUUCAAUUCCAAGCGGCGACUCACGGUUCCAAAUAUGCAUCUGCGCUCUUCGCCAACGCUCCUCUCUCCUCAUCCUCAACUUCAGCGGCCAUCCAUCCAGCCGCACCAACGCCAACUGUCCAACAGCGCUGACAUAGCCACUGAACAAAUCGGGGUUGUGAAAAAUGCUGCCCAUUACUGGCGCAAAAAACACAAGCGCCCCAGGUCUGUCCAGCACCGACAGUCAAUGGCGCCGACAUUCCUCCCAAUCAAAAUCUGUGCUGGUACAGGCGUGCUGCCGAGAAGGCGCAACCACCAAGCACAGAUACUGCUCCUUUGACGAA